UGUCAGUUUCCGCAGCAGCAGCAGG
Molecule: non-coding RNA, 25 nt
Filed under: Mus musculus (house mouse)
Lineage: Eukaryota; Metazoa; Chordata; Mammalia; Rodentia; Muridae
Source: RNAcentral